RNAcentral lists this long non-coding RNA (2844 nucleotides) under Triticum aestivum (bread wheat). RNAcentral describes it as "long non-coding RNA (TAES_LNC019386)". The record is from RNAcentral. Lineage: Eukaryota; Viridiplantae; Streptophyta; Magnoliopsida; Poales; Poaceae.
GCAACGUUGAGCAACUGAGAAAGUUGAGCAUGCCAAUGCUUAAUUAGUCCUUCUGCAAUCAUGUAUGAAAAUUCAUACACUUGGCUGCCUGUAUGUGGAGUAAAAAAUAUUCCUGAUGGAACUUUAUGUUACCACAGCGGCUGCUGCAGAAGAUGUGGCAUCUACCCCUUUGGAUACUGCCUCCGCGCGCACCUUUCUUCUCUGCAGUUUUACUAAGAGGAAUCUUUCGCCACCGUGAAGUUUUGACUAGCAGAUUCUGUGCAACUACUUCUAUUGCCCCUGCCAACUACUUCUAAUGACCGUGUCCAACUGAAAACAACUAUGUGUGCAACUAGAACUAUUAUAGAUGCCAACAAAAAAUGAUUGCCGUGUGUGCAACUUUCCAAUGACCGUAUCCAACUGAAAACAACUAUGUGUGCAACUAGAACUACUAUAGAUGCCACCCAAAAAUGAUCGCCGUGUGUGCAACUUUCCAAUGAUCGUGUCCAACUGAAAACAACUAUGUGUACAACUAGAACUACUGUAGAUGCCAACAAAAAAUGAUCACCGUGUGUGUAACUUCCGAAUGACCAUAUCUAACUAAGAACAAUUAUGUGCAUAAUAUCUAGAAGUACUAUAGAUGCCAACAAAAAAUGGUCGCCGUGUGUGCAACUUUCCAAUGAUCGUAUCCAAUUGAGAACAAAUAUGUGUGCAAUUAGAACUACUAUAGAUGCUAACAAAAAUGAUCACCGUGUGUGUAACUUCCCAAUAAUCGUGUCCAACUGAAAACAAUUAUGUGUGCAACUAAAACUACUAUAGAUGCUAACAAAAAAUGAUUGCCAUGUGUGCAAUUUUUCAAUAAUAGGAUCUGUAUGUGCAACUACAACUACUAUAUUAAUGAUCGUCUCCGACGAAAACAACUAUGUGUGCAACAAGAAUUACUAUAAAUGCCAAAAAAAUGAACGCCAUGUGUAUUCAGUUCAAUGUAUACCGUUCCACUUUCACCACUGUAGGAAAAAGGUUUAGUGUUGUGCAACUUUCUAAUUGUCGUAUCCAACUGAGAACGGCUAUGUGUACAACUACAACCACUAUGGAUGCCAACUAAGAAUGUGAAGAUCAAUAUAUCUGAAAAAAGUGAUACAUACAUUCAGCAGAAACAGAGGGCAAAAAUACAAAGGAAUGAAACAGAUAAAAUUGCUGCUUACGAAUCAAUUGCUGCUUCUUCUGCUUCUACACGGAGAUAUAUUGGCUGUGAGGAUCGAGCAACUACUUUGCUUUGCAUGCUAUAACCCCGAAGGGCAUCCUCGUCGUUCAAUAGUCGUUGGCCGUCGUUGUUGCAACAGCAGUCACAUCGCGGGCGCGCGAUAGUUGGUGUUGAGUUCAGCGAGGAUGCAGGCCGAGAGCCACGCAGGUGGCCGCCGGCAAGCACCUUAACCCCACACGGCUAGCCCUUCGUAAUAACGUACAUUCAUUUGGAUAUUACACACAUCAUCCUUCAUUCUACAGUACAAGUAGACAAGAGGGAUGCAUACCUGCUUAUUACAAUUCUCAGCCCGUGUGGACAACGGCGGAAAAUUUUGACAUCCUUGCUUAUCUUCCUCUUGAGCCACUGGCAGAGCUGCGCUGGGUUCGCCUUCCCUGCCACGGCCACGACUCUAAUGCCGACGUUUUCAUCCUUGUCAAACCAAAAAUCAGGCAAAAUGGAUGUUUCUGAAUGCUCUUGUGCAACUGAAAAUCUUGAGAUGCCAAUUAUUUAGAUACUCUUGGGAAAUGAAAUAUUCAGAUUUCAGGCUUCUAGAAGAAAAACUCGACCACAAAAAUAGAAAAAAUAAUAUAAAUGACACUCAAAUUUUACUAUUUUGCUGCGCCAACUCCAUCAAGUAUUAUGCACAACUUGUACUACUGAUUUUGCCACAGAGACACCCAAAAAAAUUGGGUGCGCAACUAGGACUACUUUUCCAUCCAACUAAAGCAGCAGUGCUGGACAACUCCUACUGCUUCGGCGGCCAACUCUGCAUACUAUUAUCCAUAUACCAAUUAUAGUUCUAGGUUAGUACAGGAUGUUUGUGAUGCUCAGUUCGUGGCUUGCAACCCAACACAACCAACCCAUUCAGUUCAUCUACUGCUCCUCUCUCUCUCCCUCUCUGCUUUCCUGGCAAAGAACGCAUUUGAAAAAUACUGUAUUUAAAUUCCAUUUGAUUGUCUUCUCAACAUGUAUUGUUGCACAUAAUUGGCACUAUGCUACAAACCUAUUGAGAACCAGGCAGCUAUUUAUUUAUUGCAAAUCUUCUGGUAACUAACUAGAUAGAUUACAUAGUACAAUAAGUUGGCCCUAAGAAUUGAAGCAAAAUUAACCUGAUGCCUUUGUUGAGCUUAGAGCUUCUUUCUCUGCAUCUCCAGCCUCCUUUUCUUCUCUCAUAUGAGCCCUUGACAAAGCAUCGGUCAUAUCCGAUUCAUAGGCAUGGCAGCAUCGGCUUCAGGAGAAGAGGUACAUCUGUUCAAUGAAUUUCCUGCAAAGCAUGGCACAUACUCAUUUGUUUGGCGGGUGAAUAGAGAAGCAGAUGUUGCAGAAGAUACAACGAAGGGCAAAAUCAACAGAUUUUAGCGGGUGGACCGGCCUGCUGCGUGAUCUACAUGGUGGCCUUUUCCCGACGGGGCGGCGGCGACAGCGGCGGUUGGCCACCUCAGAUCCAGCUCCUAAAAAGUGGGGGAAAGGAGACGGCAGCGCUGCUUCUGUAUGGCGCCGGCCGACCGGCUCGCUGGGCUCCUCCAAUCUACCGCCUCCCCUUCGACCUCCCCGGUGUGGACGCCGGUGCUCCUCUCCUUCUACACCACUGUCGAGGAAGAAAGGGAUCGAGAUAAGAC